This 475-nucleotide ribosomal RNA is filed under the name uncultured Glomus. Its description in RNAcentral is "SSU rRNA". It matches the Rfam family "Eukaryotic small subunit ribosomal RNA", at positions 569 to 1049 of the family's 1831-position model. Lineage: Eukaryota; Fungi; Glomeromycota; Glomeromycetes; Glomerales; Glomeraceae. The record is from RNAcentral.
AGCAGCCGCGGUAAUUCCAGCUCCAAUAGCGUAUAUUAAAGUUGUUGCAGUUAAAAAGCUCGUAGUUGAAUUUCGGGAUCAAUACGUCGGUCGUGCUUCGGUACGUACUGGCGUAAUUGAUUUCUCCCUUCUGACGAACCAUGAUGUCAUUAACUUGGUGUCAUGGGAAAUCAGGACUGUUACUUUGAAAAAAUUAGAGUGUUUAAAGCAGGCUCACGCUUGAAUACAUUAGCAUGGAAUAAUGAAAUAGGACGUUCGAUCCUAUUUUGUUGGUUUUUAGGAUCAACGUAAUGAUUAAUAGGGAUAGUUGGGGGCAUUAGUAUUCAAUUGUCAGAGGUGAAAUUCUUGGAUUUAUUGAAGACUAACUACUGCGAAAGCAUUUGCCAAGGAUGUUUUCAUUAAUCAAGAACGAAAGUUAGGGGAUCGAAGACGAUCAGAUACCGUCGUAGUCUUAACCAUAAACUAUGCCGACUAG